This 205-nucleotide microRNA precursor is filed under the name Oryza brachyantha (malo sina). RNAcentral's name for it is "MIR812 microRNA precursor family". It matches the Rfam family "MIR812 microRNA precursor family". The record is from Rfam by way of RNAcentral. Lineage: Eukaryota; Viridiplantae; Streptophyta; Magnoliopsida; Poales; Poaceae.
AAUAAACCAAUUUUUUACUUUUUACCUUUAAUUUUAACUCUUCGUUUUAUUUAAAAAAUUUUUACAAUUGAUAUUUUUGUUUUUAUUAGAUGAUAAAUCAUGAAUAGUAUUUUACGUGUGACUAAUUAUUUUUUAAUUUCCUAAAAAAAUUCAAAUAAGAUGGAUGAUCAAACAUUGGUCACGGAAACCGAAGAAUUCGUUUUUU